Molecule: long non-coding RNA, 541 nt
Organism: Oncorhynchus keta (chum salmon)
Lineage: Eukaryota; Metazoa; Chordata; Actinopteri; Salmoniformes; Salmonidae
Exons: 3
Source: RefSeq, a predicted model, not a curated record
UUCAUAGCUUGUUCUACAUUUUCUUUUAAAAUAGGGAGCCAAUUUGUUUUCAGCGCUUUUCUUUCCAUGACUGAUCAAACUUGCUUUCUCGUCACUCUCUUGUUUAACUUGUUUCCCAAACCUACGAUGGGGCUGCUGUAAUGAAAAGGUUUCUGCUAUUUGAAUUUACAGCCAAGUCCCCUCAUGUUCCCUAAGAGGUGAUGACCACUUCAGCCAAGUCCCCUCGUGUUCCCUAAGAGGUGAUGACCACUUCAGCCAAGUCCCCUCCUGUUCCCUAAGAGGUGAUGACCACUUCAGCCAAGUCCCCUCGUGUUCCCUAAGAGGUGAUGACCACUUCAGCCAAGUCCCCUCGUGUUCCCUAAGAGGUGAUGACCACUUCAGCCAAGUCCCCUCGUGUUCCCUAAGAGGUGAUGACCACUUCAGCCAAGUCCCCUCCUGUUCCCUAAGAGGUGAUGACCACUUCAGCCAAGUCCCCUCCUGUUCCCUAAGAGGUGACGACCACUUCAGCCAAGUCCCCUCCUGUUCCCUAAGAGGUGAUGAC